Molecule: ribosomal RNA, 240 nt
Filed under: uncultured bacterium
Lineage: Bacteria
Description: partial 16S ribosomal RNA
Rfam family: Bacterial small subunit ribosomal RNA
Source: RNAcentral
GAUCCUAGCUCAGGAUGAACGCUGGCGGCGUGCCUAACACAUGCAAGUCGAACGGAGCUGCUUUGAUGAAGUUUUUCGGAUGGAUUUAAAGCAGCUUAGUGGCGGACGGGUGAGUAACGCGUGGGUAACCUGGCCUCACACUGGGGGAUAACAGUUAGAAAUAGCUGCUAAUACCGCAUAAGCGCACGGUUCCGCAUGGAACAGUGUGAAAAACUCCGGUGGUGUGAGAUGGACCCGCGU